Molecule: ribosomal RNA, 301 nt
Filed under: uncultured bacterium
Lineage: Bacteria
Description: partial 16S ribosomal RNA
Rfam family: Bacterial small subunit ribosomal RNA
Source: RNAcentral
CAGUAGCCGCGGGAAUACAGAGGGUGCGAGCGUUAAUCGGAUUUACUGGGCGUAAAGCGUGCGUAGGCGGCUUCUUAAGUCGGAUGUGAAAUCCCUGAGCUUAACUUAGGAAUUGCAUUCGAUACUGGGAAGCUAGAGUAUGGGAGAGGAUGGUAGAAUUCCAGGUGUAGCGGUGAAAUGCGUAGAGAUCUGGAGGAAUACCGAUGGCGAAUGCAGCCAUCUGGCCUAAUACUGACGCUGAGGUACGAAAGCAUGGGGAGCAAACAGGAUUAGAUACCCGUGUAGUCCCUGUCUCUUAUAC